AUUUCGAAGUUUUGACCCAGAUCAGUCGGAGGCCACGGAAUGCUCAUGAAGUCUGGAGAGUUUGUUUAGUUCCUGAGUCCGGUAGCUGCCGAGGAGCCAAAGAGAGCCGGCAACCUGUUGGGCUUGAGCUGAAGCCUUGCCUUUUCAAGUUUGUGCUGGCCUGGCCUCCCCAAGCCUCUGAGGAUGACUCAGUGUAUCGGGAGCCGGGAGAUGGAGCUCUCAGCAGAGUGGCCAGGAUGUUCUGUCAACAUGAAAGCUACAAAAACAGCUCGGGGCUCUGAGCUGAUCCUUAGCCUGGGGUCAUUUUCAGGGAGGGCUGGACAGAGAAGGCGGCCACCGCCCGGGCAUCAGGAUGGGAGCGACACCAGGUAACUCAGCAGGGCUCUGGGAACCCUUGCAUUUUAGAG
RNAcentral lists this long non-coding RNA (407 nucleotides) under Homo sapiens (human). RNAcentral describes it as "non-protein coding MIR29B2CHG:71". The record is from RNAcentral. Lineage: Eukaryota; Metazoa; Chordata; Mammalia; Primates; Hominidae.